Helicoverpa zea (corn earworm) is the source of this 236-nucleotide long non-coding RNA. RefSeq lists it as uncharacterized. The record is from RefSeq and is a predicted model, not a curated record. The transcript has 2 exons. Lineage: Eukaryota; Metazoa; Arthropoda; Insecta; Lepidoptera; Noctuidae.
AUGUACUCAUAAUGCAUCAAAUUGUUAAAAAUACGUCUGAAUUAGUUUGCCCUAGCAUUUGCAAAAUUACUUAAAAAUGGUGAUUUUCGUAAUUUGGUGAAAAAUUAUAGUCCCGUAGCUAUGAUGUUUUUCUAUAGUCGCAAAUAGUAGAACAACAUCUAAAAAGAUGCAUUGAGGGCUGCGAAGAAGAAUUGAAUUUGAACGCUCACAUUUUAAAUAAAAUAAUUAAUCAUGGA